Arabidopsis lyrata subsp. lyrata is the source of this 1380-nucleotide long non-coding RNA. RefSeq lists it as uncharacterized. NCBI's taxonomy places the organism in Eukaryota, Viridiplantae, Streptophyta, Magnoliopsida, Brassicales, Brassicaceae. The record is from RefSeq and is a predicted model, not a curated record. The transcript is spliced from 3 exons.
UAGUAUAGGAUACCAAACUAAAGUUAGAACAUGGAAGUAAAGUAUACUUCAAAAUAAUAAAAUAUAUAGGUUAGAAAAUAAGAAAAAACAAACGUGUGGUAGGAUAAUCUUUUUAUGAGUGUCAAAUCAUAUAGUCAUAAAAUGGACAUAAACACAUGAAGUUUUACGAAAAUCUUUAAAACUAUUGUGACAUUUCAUUUACGACUCACAAAAAGACCAAAUAUCCAGUUUUGGAGCCAUUUGCCCAUAUGAAUGGCCCGUUAAUAUAAGACCAAAACAAUGUAUCAUUGAUAUUGACGACCAAAGGGUCCGUUAAUGCCCAAAAAGUGUGAGAUUUUAAGUAGAAAAAAACGAUGUCUCGGUAAGUCUCUCUUUCUUUAAAGAUAGACAACACAUCAAAGGGACGACGAUGAUUGAUAAGUGAUAAAUAUUCAGUUCCUCGGUCCCUGCUUCCACAUACCAAUGAUUAGUGGAUCGGUUAGGUUCGAGCCAAUUCCAGAUUCAUUCCGAGCCACCAUUUUUGUCAAUCGGACGGUCGUUGUUGCUCCACCGUUUUUAUUCGUCUGCGAUAAAAUUGGUUGCUCUAGUGCAUUUGAUAUGAAAGUGGAUUUAUCACAGACGCAGAUUGAUGGAUUUGGCACCCAGAUUUCAACUCAUUCCUCUUGGUUUAGUGAGAAGUAAGGAGACCGUAGAGAAAAUAGAAUGGCAAAUGAACCAUCCAUUGAUAUGUGAAAGGAUUUUUUCAUCGUGAUAAAAGGUACAAUGUUGGUGUGAGAUGUACUGGUUUUGUGUUCGGUGAGUUUAGAUCUUGGAAAAGAGUGUGUAUUUAUAGUGUUUUGAGAAGAUUGAUAUAGUUUUUAGGUUAGAGAUUAAAAAAAAUUUUGGUGAGCAAGUGUAAAAUAUCUUUACAAAUCUUUGAAUCGAGAAUCUAUAGAAUAUGCCACAUAAAUGCUACGAAAAAUAAGAAUAAAAUCGUUUAGUUAUGUAACAUUUCUAAUUAAUUGGGUGAGAUUGAAUUUUGAAUUAAUAUUGUUCAUUUUACUUAGGAAACAAACUGACUUGCAUCAAAAUCUCUAGUAUUAUAAUAGGAAACAAUUUGAUUGUCAAAUAUUGGUUUGUUAGAACCAUAUAUACGUAAAAAUAUUGUCAAAUCUUUAUAAACUAAUUAAAUGUCGUUUUCUGUAUUUGUAGAAAUUAGGCAAGAUCUUAUUAAAGAUUUCCAAUCAUUUUAAUUUGUUAGGAUUUUUUUAGGAAAGUCUCAUAUUAUGUGGAUCUGAGACUUAUUUACGGAUUAAAAUCAAUAAGUAGAUAUUCAAUUUGUUAUAACUAUAUAUAUUCUCCAUAUCUUUCAAUUAUGAGAAAAUAUAUGUUGGUUGCCUU